Molecule: ribosomal RNA, 491 nt
Filed under: uncultured bacterium
Lineage: Bacteria
Description: partial 16S ribosomal RNA
Rfam family: Bacterial small subunit ribosomal RNA
Source: RNAcentral
GAUGAACGCUGGCUACAGGCUUAACACAUGCAAGUCGAGGGGAAACGACGGGGAAGCUUGCUUCCUCGGGCGUCGACCGGCGCACGGGUGAGUAACGCGUAUCCAACCUGCCUCUGAAUGAGGGAUAACCCGUCGCAAGUCGGCCUAAUACCCCAUGGCAUCGUCUGCGGGCAUCCAACGACGAUUACAGACUUCUUCGGUCAGAUAGGAGUAUGCGUCUGAUUAGGUAGUUGGCGGAGUAACGGCCGACCAAGGCGACGACCAGUAGGGGUUCUGAGAGGAAGGUCCCCCACAUUGGAGAUAAGACACGGUCCAAACUGCUACGGGAGGGAGCAGAGAAGAAUAUUGGUCAAUGAGCGAGAACCUGAACAAGCCGAGUAGCGUGAGAGAGGACGGCCCUAUGGGUUGUAAACAGCUUUUAUGCGGGGAUAAAGUGAGGGACGUGUCCUUCAUUGCAGGUACCGAAUGAAUAAGGACCGGCUAAUUCCGUG